Molecule: ribosomal RNA, 508 nt
Filed under: uncultured bacterium
Lineage: Bacteria
Description: partial 16S ribosomal RNA
Rfam family: Bacterial small subunit ribosomal RNA
Source: RNAcentral
AGUGAACGCUGGCGGCGUGCUUAACACAUGCAAGUCGAACGAGAACGGAUUAUAGCUUGCUAGAUCUUAGUGGCGAACGGGUGAGUAAUACAUAAAUAAUCUGCCCAUAUGACUGGGAUAACUAUUGGAAACGAUAGCUAAUACCGGAUAGGUUGAUUGGAGGCAUCCCUGAUUAAUUAAAGUAGGCUUUCUACAUAAAUGGAUGAGUUUAUGGCGCAUUAGUUAGUUGGUGGGGUAACGGCCUACCAAGACGAUGAUGCGUAGCCGACCUGAGAGGGUGACCGGCCACACUGGGACUGAGACACGGCCCAGACUCCUACGGGAGGCAGCAGUAGGGAAUUUUCGGCAAUGGGCGCAAGCCUGACCGAGCAACGCCGCGUGAGUGAUUAAGGCCUUCGGGUUGUAAAGCUCUGUUGUAAGGGAAGAACAUUCAGGAUAGGAAAUGAUCUUGAACUGACGGUACCUUACCAGAAAGCCACGGCUAACUACGUGCCAGCCGCCGCAGUAA